AUCUAUUGAAGAAAAACUGUUUAAUUUAAUAAAAAUAUUUUAAUGUUGUAAUCCAUCGGGUUAAUAUCUUCGCGGGACCACCAAACGUCUCAAUUAUUCUAAUUUUGAUAUGGAUGUAGAACCAAGUACGAGCAACAGAAAAGAUGAAAAAUGUAAUGCAAAUAACCAACGUUUGAUAGCCGAAAGCGGCGGCCGUUGCAUGAGCACACAAGCGAUGCAGUCACUCUACGAUUUCCGACAAAAUAAUUUGCUUUGCGAUGCAGUAUUGAGAUUAGAGGACGGUGGUGUUUUCCCGAUUCACCGAGCUAUACUUUCAGCAUGCAGUACUUAUUUCAGGACAUUAUUCACAACUACAUUGCAUUCUCGUGAGAAAACCGAUGUCCUUCUACCAGGUGUGACGAGCCCGAUGAUGAAUCUUUUGCUGGAAUACGCAUAUUUGCGAUCUAUUGAUGUGAAUCGUGAAAAUGUAUGCGAAUUGUUGACCACGGCGGAUUAUUUAAGUAUUCUGGGUGUACUUGAUCUGUGCUGCGACUAUCUAAGGGAUAAUUUGGCGCCGGAAAAUUGCAUCGGAGUGAUGAGAUUCGCUCGUCAGCAUUUUUGCAAAAAGUUGGAAAAUGAUGCUUAUCGUUUUAUUGUAGGACACUUUGUCGAGGUAUCUCAGAGAAGCGAAGAAAUUUUAUAUUUACCCAUCGAGGAAUUAAAGCCGUUAGUCGGCGCCGAUGAACUAAACGUGAAAAGCGAGCAGACGGUUUGGGAGCUGAUACUGAGAUGGAUAAAUCACGAUCUAGAAUCUAGAAAAGAUUAUAUAGUGGACCUAAUGAAGAAUAUUAGACUCGGUCUCUUAGACACGCAGUUUUUUCUGGAGAAUGUCAAAGAUCAUCCUUACGUCGUGGGCAAUGAUGCGUGUAGACCCAUCAUCAUCGAAACUCUGAAAUUUCUAUACGAUUUGGAGAUGAUCACCCAGAAAGACGGAGAAGUGCCAACACCGGAAAUCGCGCGACCUAGAGUUCCACAUGAGAUUUUGUUCGCCAUCGGUGGAUGGAGCGGUGGCUCGCCAACAAAUUAUAUCGAGACUUAUGAUACGAGAGCAGAUCGAUGGAUUCCGAUCGAAGAAACAGAUCCAACCAGUCCACGAGCUUAUCAUGGACUCGCAGUGAUUGGAUUCAAUAUCUACGUUAUCGGAGGGUUCGACGGGGUCGAUUAUUUCAACAGUUGUCGUUGUUUCAACGCGGUGACCAAGGUGUGGCGAGAGGUUGCUCCCAUGAACGCUAGAAGAUGUUACGUUAGUGUGGCAGUUUUGAACGAUCUGGUCUACGCGAUGGGAGGAUAUGAUGGAUAUCAUCGGCAAAAAACGGCGGAGCGUUACGACUAUAAGACAAAUCAGUGGUCCCUCAUUGCACCUAUGAACGUGCAGAGAUCUGACGCCAGCGCAACUACUUUGAACGACAAAAUAUAUAUUACGGGCGGUUUCGACGGGCAUGAUUGUCUGAAUACAGCCGAGGUAUAUGAUCCAAACACCAAUCAGUGGACAAUGAUAACUGCAAUGAGGUCACGCAGGAGCGGCGUGUCGUGCAUAUCUUAUCACGGCUACGUUUAUGUUAUUGGUAUUAAGACAUGUACUUAUUGCGAAAGAAAUCCUGUCACGGAGGCUUCAACGGAAUAUCGAGAAUGUGCAGCGGGGAAAAAUAUAAGCCUUCUACGAACACGUGGAGUCAUAUUCCGGAUAUGUAUAAUCCGCGUAGCAACUUUGCCAUUGAAGUCAUUGACGAUAUGAUUUUUGCUAUCGGUGGAUUUAACGGUGUUACUACGACGUACCAAGUGGAAUGUUACGAUGAAAAAACGAACGAAUGGUAUGAAGCAACGGAUAUGAACAUAUGCAGAUCGGCAUUAUCGGCUUGCGUGAUCAUGGGUCUUCCAAACGUAUACGAUUAUAUACACAAGCAUCGCGAGCGAUUGAUGGAGGAGAAGCGUCAAAAACUACUGGCUCACGAAGUACGCCGGAGUCAGCAUCAACAACAGCAGGAACAGGAGCAAAUGAGACAAACUAUGCAGAUUACUCAAGCCAUACCAACACCACCAUCUCUACCACGAACAAGCGAGAACGAUAAUAAUAAUAAUAAUCGUUGGCGUUAAAGCCAAUAAUUAUUAUCAUUAAAUUGAAGAAGCCAUGCAAUACCUGUCUCAUUCAAUUCAUCCGCAAUGCAAAUUUUAGAUUAUUGCCAGUCGCGUAACCCGGAAUAACAAUCACAAAGAUAAAUUAGAGAAUCAAUGUCACUUGAUCAAUAUCAUCUGAUCAAAUUGUCAAUGAUAAUAACACAGAGACAACUGUUUAUAUAUACUUAUUAUUUAUAUUAUUCUUGUCUACUUCGCGAAAAGAAUAUUUUCAGACUGCCAUUUACUCAUCUUUGUUAAGUUAAAUCUUUUUUGAUACUGCAAAUAUUUUCUAUCGAAUCUUUUUGCGAUGCAAUUUUACGCAUAUUAUAUAAUGUCAUCUUGAAUAAUUGAAGCAAUUUAGAGGACGAACAGCCAUUUUUAUCGCAAAUACUAAUAAUAUUCCAUUGUUACACAUAAUAAUAUUAACACAGAUUGAAACAGCUGCAACGUACAUAUUAAAAAGACCGAAAACAUUGAAGGAAAACAAAUGAUAAAAUGAGGCGAGAAAUGCAGAAACAUAAAGAAAUAUAUCAACGUAAUCUGAUGAGACAUAAAAUAAUUUUGUAAUAGAAAACAUGACGAAUCGCCCAUCCAAACAAGUGUUCACAAAAUAAUUUCUUAAGUCCGACAUUUCAUGUGACAGCAAUGUUCUUUCUACAUGUGUAACAAAAAAUAAAAUUACAGUAACUUGUACAAAA
Formica exsecta is the source of this 2852-nucleotide RNA transcript. It is a transcript of the gene named kelch-like protein 10, with no coding region annotated. The record is from RefSeq and is a predicted model, not a curated record. The transcript is spliced from 8 exons. NCBI's taxonomy places the organism in Eukaryota, Metazoa, Arthropoda, Insecta, Hymenoptera, Formicidae.